Molecule: ribosomal RNA, 93 nt
Filed under: Bacillus atrophaeus
Lineage: Bacteria; Bacillati; Bacillota; Bacilli; Caryophanales; Bacillaceae
Also listed under: 1 other name
Source: RNAcentral
CACACCCGUUCCCAUACCGAACACGGUAGUUAAGCUCUUCAGCGCCGAUGGUAGUCGGGGGCUUCCCCCUGUGAGAGUAGGACGCCGCCAAGC